This 251-nucleotide ribosomal RNA is filed under the name uncultured bacterium. RNAcentral describes it as "partial 16S ribosomal RNA". It matches the Rfam family "Bacterial small subunit ribosomal RNA", at positions 524 to 773 of the family's 1533-position model. The record is from RNAcentral.
UACGUGAGCCCCCAAGCGUUAUCCGGAAUUACUGGGCGUAAAGAGUGCGUAGGCGGUUAUGUUAGUCUUCUGUUUAAUCCUUCGGCUCAACCGGAGAACUGCAGAGGAAACGGCAUAACUGGAGCGUGUGAGAGGUGGGCGGAACUCAUGGUGUAGGGGUGAAAUCCGUUGAUAUCAUGGGGAACACCAAAUGCGAAGGCAGCUCACUGGCACAUUGCUGACGCUGAGGCACGAAAGCGUGGGUAGCGAAU